This 372-nucleotide ribosomal RNA is filed under the name Chanea voluta. Its description in RNAcentral is "partial large subunit ribosomal RNA". Lineage: Eukaryota; Metazoa; Arthropoda; Arachnida; Araneae; Mysmenidae. The record is from RNAcentral.
AAAUAGCCGCAGAAUUUUAACUGUGCUAAGGUAGCAUAAUCAUUAGGUUUUUAAUUAAAACCUAGAAUGAAAGGCAAAACCACUAAUAACUUUAUUAUAUCAACAUUAUUAAAAUUAAACUAAAUAUAAAAAUAUAUUUAUAAAAAAAAAAGACGACAAGACCCUAUUGAACUUAACCGAUGUUGCGCUGGGGCAGCUAUUUAAAAAUUACUUUAAAUAAAACAUUUAAAUAAAAACCUAAUACCAUUAAAAAUAACAAGUUACCAUAGGGAUAACAGCGUAAUUUCUUAAAAAAGCUCUUAUUUAAUAAGAAGAUUGCGACCUCGAUGUUGAAUUAAACACCUAUUUAAAGUAAAAAAUUAAAAGGGGGUC